GUAAGGACACUCGCAUGCAUAAGUCUGUGCCUUCAGAUUUUUCUACUCUGUUAUCCUGUUUGCGCCAGAGGGAAAGAGGUCCUCUCUCCUCUGAUAAUAUGGUGUUCUGUAAGCUAAAUGAGCAAUAGAGACUGAGUUACUGGUAGAGACCAGCUAUAUUUAAUCACAGAUUAGACCCUAGCGGUUUACCUAAACCUCAGAAGGGGACUUUGACGUGGUGUGCUGGGAAGGAAGGCCCAAUCUGUCCCCAAGAAAACAUACAGCUUUGAACUGGAUGAGAAAGUGCUCAGCUCUUGGUGACCAUGGUGACAGUUGCCAUUUCUUGAAUCUGUUGCAGGAUUUCCAUUUAAACACGUCUAAGAGCUUCAGGACCAUACAAACGCUUCACACCGCGUGGCCGCUGCC
Molecule: long non-coding RNA, 405 nt
Organism: Salvelinus namaycush (lake trout)
Lineage: Eukaryota; Metazoa; Chordata; Actinopteri; Salmoniformes; Salmonidae
Exons: 3
Source: RefSeq, a predicted model, not a curated record